Molecule: microRNA precursor, 62 nt
Filed under: Pristionchus pacificus
Lineage: Eukaryota; Metazoa; Nematoda; Chromadorea; Rhabditida; Neodiplogasteridae
Description: microRNA ppc-mir-8254 precursor
Source: miRBase by way of RNAcentral
UCACGUGUUGCACCUUCCCAUCCGGCAUACGGUAUCGGCGAUGGCAGUUGUACCACGUGGGA